RNAcentral lists this long non-coding RNA (665 nucleotides) under Prunus persica (peach). RNAcentral's name for it is "long non-coding RNA (PPER_LNC006912)". The record is from RNAcentral. Lineage: Eukaryota; Viridiplantae; Streptophyta; Magnoliopsida; Rosales; Rosaceae.
UUUUGGAUUAGAUAGAGAUAACAAAACCUAGUGAAAUGAUCAAUGAAUGUGAUGAAAUACCUAUGUCCUUCUAGAGUUGGAAAUGGGAAUAGACAACAGAUAUAUGUGUGAAUAAUUUCAAUAAGACUUUGGUUUGGAGUAGAACCUAAUCUCCUUGAGUUAGUCAUUUUGCCUUUAAUGCAUUUAAUGAUUCAUUAAAAUCUGAGAAAUCUAAGGGAGGAAGAAUUUGUUCUUUCACAAGGUAUUGCAUUCUUUUUCUAGACACAUGGCCUGGUAUUUUAUGUCAUAGCCUUGCUGAGUUUUCAUUAAUUUGGGAUCAUUUUUGACCUAUGGAAUCAAUGGUGAAAGCAACAUUUAAAUUGGAACAAGUUAAUCGAAACAAACCAUCAGUCAAAAGGUCAUUGUUAAUUGAACUUUUAUUGAAAUUCAAAUAAAAUCCUACCUUAGAAAAAACAAAACAAAAUGUUCCCUGGUUAUCUAGAAACUGAAAUUAAGUUCAUUCUCAUGGAAGGAACAUAAGCAACAUCCUUUAAAUUUAAAAAAAAAAAAAUCCUGAAACUAGUUGAAGCUGAACUGAUCCUACUGCAAGAACUACCACCGUCUUACCAUUUCCAACGAAGACAUGGUCUUGGUCUCUAUUUGGUUUCCUCUAGCUUACGAAGUCC